GACGAACGCUGGCGGCGUGCUUAACACAUGCAAGUCGAACGGUGAAGCGCCUUCCUUUUUGGUGGGUGUGGAUGAGUGGCGAACGGGUGAGUAACACGUGAGUAACCUGCCCCCUUCUUCUGGAUAACCGCAUGAAAGUGUGGCUAAUACGGGAUAUUCUGGGUCUGUCGCAUGAUGGGUCUGGGAAAGAUAUUGUUUCGGUGGGGGAUGGGCUCGCGGCCUAUCAGCUUGUUGGUGGGGUGAUGGCCUACCACGGCGGUGACGGGUAGCCGGCCUGAGAGGGUGGACGGACACACUGGGACGGAGACACGGCCCAGACUCCUACGGGAGGCAGCAGGGGGGAAUAUUGCACAAUGGGCGCAAGCCUGAUGCAGCGACGCCGCGUGAGGGAUGGAGGCCUUCGGGUUGUGAACCUCUUUCGCCAGUGAAGCAGGCCUGCCUCGUUUGUGGGUGGGUUGACGGUAGCUGGAGAAGAAGCGCCGGCUAACUACGUG
RNAcentral lists this ribosomal RNA (494 nucleotides) under uncultured bacterium. Its description in RNAcentral is "partial 16S ribosomal RNA". It matches the Rfam family "Bacterial small subunit ribosomal RNA", at positions 28 to 507 of the family's 1533-position model. The record is from RNAcentral.